RNAcentral lists this ribosomal RNA (479 nucleotides) under uncultured bacterium. RNAcentral describes it as "partial 16S ribosomal RNA". It matches the Rfam family "Bacterial small subunit ribosomal RNA", at positions 28 to 523 of the family's 1533-position model. The record is from RNAcentral.
GAUGAACGCUGGCGGCGUGCUUAACACAUGCAAGUCGAGCGAUGAAGUUUCCUUCGGGAAACGGAUUAGCGGCGGACGGGUGAGUAACACGUGGGUAACCUGCCUCAUAGAGUGGAAUAGCUUUCCGAAAGGAAGAUUAAUACCGCAUAACGUUGAAAGAUGGAAUCAUCAUUCAACCAAAGGAGCAAUCCGCAAUGAGAUGGACCCGCGGCGCAUCAGCUCGUUGGUGGGGUAACGGCCUACCAAGGCGACGAAGCGUAGCCGACCUGAGAGGGUGAUCGGCCACAUUGGGACUGAGACACGGCCCAGACUCCUACGGGAGGCAGCAGUGGGGAAUAUUGCACAAUGGGGAAACCCUGAUGCAGCAACGCCGCGUGAGUGAUGAAGGUUUUCGGAUCGUAAAGCUCUGUCUUUGGGGAAGAUAAUGACGGUACUCAAGGAGGAAGCCACGGCUAACUACGUGCCAGCCGCCGCAGUAA